This 498-nucleotide ribosomal RNA is filed under the name uncultured bacterium. RNAcentral describes it as "bacterial SSU rRNA". It matches the Rfam family "Bacterial small subunit ribosomal RNA", at positions 28 to 530 of the family's 1533-position model. The record is from RNAcentral.
GACGAACGCUGGCGGCGUGCCUAACACAUGCAAGUCGAGCGGAGAUAAGCGGAUGGUAACUGAAGCUUAUCUUAGCGGCGGACGGGUGAGUAACACGUGGGCAACCUGCCUUGAAGUGGGGGAUAACACCGGGAAAUCGGUGCUAAUACCGCAUAACAUACACAAACUGCAUGGUAAGUGUAUCAAAGGAGCAAUCCGCUUUAAGAUGGGCCCGCGGCUGAUUAGCUAGUUGGUAAGGUAACGGCUUACCAAGGCGACGAUCAGUAGCCGACCUGAGAGGGUGACCGGCCACACUGGAACUGAGACACGGUCCAGACUCCUACGGGAGGCAGCAGUGGGGAAUAUUGCGCAAUGGGGGGAACCCUGACGCAGCAACGCCGCGUGGAGGAAGAAGGUCUUCGGAUUGGUAAACUCCUGUCUUCUGGGACGAAUAAUGACGGUACCAGAGGAGGAAGCCACGGCUAACUACGUGCCAGCAGCCGGGUAAGAGUCACGUCG